This 3159-nucleotide ribosomal RNA is filed under the name Triticum aestivum (bread wheat). RNAcentral describes it as "partial small subunit ribosomal RNA". Lineage: Eukaryota; Viridiplantae; Streptophyta; Magnoliopsida; Poales; Poaceae. The record is from RNAcentral.
AUGGCUGGGAGCUUCGACGGGAGGGUACCAACCAGGGGCGUUGAGCAGGCCAUUGUUGCUCUCAAGAAGGGCGCGCAUCUCCUCAAGUGUGGCAAGAGAGGGAAGCCCAAGUUCUGCCCUUUCAGGCUGUCUUCUCUCAAACUGUCUCAAGUACACAGAUCUGUCACUGUCAUGGGGAUUUUCCUGAGUUUCGCAGGCAACAAAGAUGAGAAGACACUGGUGUGGUACUCGAAAGACAGGGAGAAACACCUGAGCUUAAAUUCUGUUUCAACUGUAAUCCUUGGCCAGAAGACUACAAACUUUUGUCGUCAGCGUUGGCCUGAGAAAGAACAUCAAUCCUUGUCACUCGUAUACAGAAAUGGCGAGUGCUCACUCGACUUGAUCUGCAGAGACAGAGAUCAAGCUGAGUGCUGGCAUCUUGGCCUGACAGCCUUAAUAUCGGGUCCUUCUAGUCCAUUUUCAUCAGUUGGGUCAAAGAGCAGCAGGCAGAUGACCAGUUGCACAAGUACUCCCCGCAGCUAUAUCCAGCGAAAGAGCAAGCUAUCAGCUGUGCACGACACACCCAGGCACAAGCAGGUAUAUCCAUCUUAUGGGAGUCCUAGGAUGACACAGAAAGAUUUAUUUGGUGGUUACCUUGAUUGCUCGGAAGCAUUAUUUUACCAAAGACAGCGAACAUUUUCUGAUGUAGACUCUUACCUGGAGAGGCUUAGUCCCAAGGUGGCAAAUCCAGUUAGACAUAGUUUGAAGGACAUUUUGGUUGCUAACAACAAACAUAAGACACAGACCAUUAGUCGAACACCUAAAGUGAAAGCAUUUGAAGGGCCCCGUGCAGCAUGCAGACUGGAUUCUCUGAAGGAUGUUUUUCUCUGGGGUGAUGUUGUUGGCAGUGCAUUAGACAGUGAAGAUAUUCCAAAGGCACUUCCGAGGUUAGUGGGAUCAACCAAAAUGCUCGAUGUACAGAGCAUUGCUUGCGGGGAGAAUCAUGCAGCCAUAAUAACCAAGCAAGGGGAGGUCUUCUCCUGGGGCAAGGAGAGUGGCAGGAAACUGGGACACAAGGUAAAUGACAGCGCCCAGUGUCCUAAAAUGGUCGAGUCCCUUGCCUCUGUACAUGUGAAGGCUGUUGCAUUUGGUUCAAAGCACACCUGUGCAGUCACAGUUUCUGGCGAACUUUUUGAAUGGGGUGAAGGAGCUCAUGGCUUGGGUCUGUUGAAUAACUGGCAUGGAAGGAACCAAUGGUUACCCCAUAAACUGUUUGGCCCUAUGGACAACAUUUCUGUGUCGAAAAUUGCCUGUGGCGACUGGCACACAGCUAUUAUAACAUCUUCUGGUCAGCUAUUCACAUAUGGGGAUGGAACAUUUGGUGUUCUUGGUCAUGGGGAUAGACAAGGAAUUGCUAGGCCAAAAGAAGUAGAGUCCUUGAAAGGGUUACGGGUGAAAUCCGUGGCAUGCGGGCCAUGGCACACAGCUGCCAUUGUUGAAGGAAUGAGCAGUGUCAAGUGCAACGCUCCAAUUGGCAACCUGUUCACAUGGGGAGAUGCAGAUAAAGGGAAGCUGGGUCAUGCUGACAAGAAGAUGAAGCUUGUACCAACAUGCGUCGAUUCACUCAUCAGUCAUGAUUUUCUUCAGGUAUCCUGCGGGAUGGCUCUGACUGUCGCGCUUACUUCUAAUGGGGUGGUAUUUACCAUCGGAAGUUCCAAACAUGGGCAACUAGGGAACCCACAGGCAGAUGGUGAAUCUGUUUGCACUGUUGGAGGAGUACUUAAGAAUGAGUUUGUGACAGAGAUAUCAUCUGGUUCUUCCCACGUAGCCGUGCUGACUAUGAACGGAAAGGUUUUCACCUGGGGUAAAGGUGCGGACGGACAACUUGGUUUAGGUGACUAUGCCAAUAGGAGCUCUCCUACUUUAGUAGAGGCAUUAGAAGGUAGACAAGUUCAGAGUAUAGCUUGUGGCUCCAAUUUUAGUGCUGCAAUCUGUUUGCACAAGGGUAUCUCAGUGAAGGACCAACCCAUAUGCAGCAGAUGUCAGAUGGUUUUUAAUUUUACUAGAAAGAAACACAACUGUUACAACUGUGGUUCCAUGUUCUGCAACUCUUGCAGUAGUAACAAGACCGCAAACUCAGCACUUGCGCCAGACAGGAACAGAAGGUAUCGUGUCUGCGAUGCGUGUUUCUGUCAACUAGAGAAAGCCUUGUACUCUGGCGAAGUCAAGCCACAGCCAAAGAUCAGCAAAGGAGAAAUGUUUAAAGCAGAAAUAAUGGCAUACACACCUAAGUUGUCACGUUUGUUCAAGGAAGCAAACCUCAUUGUUGAAAAGAUGGCUUCAGUACAAGGUCCCAAUCAAAGAAAUGUGGACUCUGCCGUUCCGAUACAAGUGAAAACUCAAAGAUGGGGGCAAGUUGAGUGUCCCGCCCAAUUUUUAUCUGCACAAGACAAUUUCAGACAUCAGCUGGUGCCAGAUAAUCAGAUGUCUGGUGUCUCUUUUUCCCAAAGAAUGCAUGAUGCUGUAGGGUUGAAGGCUGGAAACCCUUUGCGGCAGUCUACUGACAGCCAGAGAGAUGAACUGAGUAUGAUGGAAAGAAUACUCACGGAGGAAGUAAAGCAGCUGCGAUCACAAGUCACGACUCUUGCAGAGCAAUGCCAGCAGAAAAAUCUUGUAGUCCAAGUGUACAAACAAAGACUUGAUGAAACAUGGCUAAUUGUUAGGGAUGAGGCUGCAAAGUGUAAAGCUGCCAAAGAUAUCAUAAAGGUUCUGACUAAUCAGUGCAAUGCCUUGUCAGCGAAACUUUCAGUUGGCCAGCAACCAGAGAACUCAAAGAUGACACCUAAUAGCAUCCCGGAACAAGCACCGUCACCAGGUGCCACAGAUAGAUCAUUCAGUCAUCAAAAUAUCGCCAGAACAUUCGACCGUGAUGGCUACACCACCGAAGCAGACUCCGUGGACACUCCUGUUGAGGGUGUUAUAGAGCAGAUUGAGCGAGGGGUGUAUGUCACACUUGCCGUAUCCCCUGGUGGAAGGAAAGACAUAAGGCGGAUAAGAUUCAGUCGGAAGCAUUUUGGCGAGAAGGCAGCUCAGUGCUGGUGGGAAGAGAACAAGAGCAGGGUAUAUGCAAAUUAUAGCAGCGUUGAGCAAGUGGCAACACCACACCCGAACCGCGCUUAA